This is a long non-coding RNA of Helianthus annuus (common sunflower), 953 nucleotides long. RefSeq lists it as uncharacterized. The record is from RefSeq and is a predicted model, not a curated record. The transcript has 7 exons. Lineage: Eukaryota; Viridiplantae; Streptophyta; Magnoliopsida; Asterales; Asteraceae.
CCCAUUCUACCCCUCAAAAAAAAAACAAUUUUCCAAUUCCCACUACUUUCUUCUACUUCCCUCUUCGUUGUUUUUCAAUUUUUCACCUUCCCUCCCUUUCCCAUAGCCCUGAUUUGAUAUCCAAACUGAUCCAUUUACAGCAGUUGAGGAGAAAACAGUAGCCGCCACUAAGGGAUUUUAGUCGACCCGACCACCAUCGCUGCACCCCAAUGACCGUCGACCACCCGUCCUUUCCUUUAAUCUAUUGGUAUCCAAGUUGUUUGCAGAAUGGGAGAUGAAUGAGCCUGGGGCUAACCUAAAUUCAGCAUGUUGGUUCAAUCGAGACUCUUAGUUUUACCCGGUCAUUUUCUUUAUACGACCCACAAUUUGCAGGAAAUGUUUGAAGGUUUAGCAAGGCAGCUGACUUUAGGUUAACUUGGGCAAUAUAUUAAAGAUAUACACAGGGAGCAACUCAAGAUUACACUCUGGAAUGGUAUUAUGCCGAUCUGGUAAGGUGGACUCUUCUUUGGUGACUCGUCUUCCUCAUUGUCAGAGCAUGGUUGAAUUAAUGGGGGCACAAGUUUCGAAACUGCUGAUUGCGACCAAGGUGGCUUUUUUACCGAACAAGAUAUUAAGAGCCUACCAUGUUUACAGGUGAUGGUAAUUCCGAUAACGAAGAGAUUAAAGUGAUGUCAAAUGAAGUUGAGUAUAGUCAGUUGGCUGAUGUAGCGACAAUCUGGGAACUAUGAAGUGGAAGUAUGACUACUAAGAAAACGUUAACACGAUGAUUAUUUAACUCGCAUGAAGAUUGUGAAAGAGAUUCAUGAAUACAGUGAAGUUUUGAGUUUUUAUUCAUACACUUAUUAGUUUAUUUGGGUUAUAUGUUUGAUCAUUAGACUUAGAUCGACACUUAUUAGAUAUUUGGAAUGCUUGGAAGAUUGAUUGAACUUUUAAUUGAAGUGAUUAUUUUAUGA